This is a non-coding RNA of Potamilus streckersoni, 67 nucleotides long. NCBI's taxonomy places the organism in Eukaryota, Metazoa, Mollusca, Bivalvia, Unionida, Unionidae. The record is from the annotation of a GenBank genome assembly.
GGUGGCCUAGUGUUAGAGCAUCUGCCUCAGAUGAGGGAGGUCAUGGGUUUGAUCCCCAGUAGAAUCA